UUAAUUGAAACCAAAUAGAGGUUUAUCACUGUUAAUGAUAAUAUUGAACCAUGUUCCAAUUAAA
Molecule: transfer RNA, 64 nt
Filed under: Scaphidema metallicum
Lineage: Eukaryota; Metazoa; Arthropoda; Insecta; Coleoptera; Tenebrionidae
Description: tRNA-Asn
Source: RNAcentral